Molecule: ribosomal RNA, 425 nt
Filed under: uncultured bacterium
Lineage: Bacteria
Description: partial 16S ribosomal RNA
Rfam family: Bacterial small subunit ribosomal RNA
Source: RNAcentral
GUGGGGAAUCUUGCGCAAUGGGCGAAAGCCUGACGCAGCCAUGCCGCGUGAAUGAUGAAGGUCUUAGGAUUGUAAAAUUCUUUCACCGGGGACGAUAAUGACGGUACCCGGAGAAGAAGCUCCGGCUAACUUCGUGCCAGCAGCCGCGGUAAUACGAAGGGGGCUAGCGUUGCUCGGAAUUACUGGGCGUAAAGGGCGCGUAGGCGGACAGCUUAGUCAGAGGUGAAAGCCCAGGGCUCAACCUUGGAAUUGCCUUUGAUACUGGCUGUCUUGAGUUUGGGAGAGGUGAGUGGAACUCCGAGUGUAGAGGUGAAAUUCGUAGAUAUAGGAAGGAACACCAGUGGCGAAGGCGACCACCUGGACUGAUACUGACACUGAGGUGCGAAAGCGUGGGGAGCAAACAGGAUUAGAUACCCCAGUAGUCC